Molecule: ribosomal RNA, 253 nt
Filed under: uncultured bacterium
Lineage: Bacteria
Description: partial 16S ribosomal RNA
Rfam family: Bacterial small subunit ribosomal RNA
Source: RNAcentral
UACGAAGGGGGCUAGCGUUGCUCGGAAUCACUGGGCGUAAAGCGCACGUAGGCGGAUUGCUAAGUCAGGGGUGAAAUCCUGGAGCUCAACUCCAGAACUGCCUUUGAUGCUGGCGAUCUUGAGUCCGGGAGAGGUGAGUGGAACUGCGAGUGUAGAGGUGAAAUUCGUAGAUAUUCGCAAGAACACCAGUGGCGAAGGCGGCUCACUGGCCCGGUACUGACGCUGAGGUGCGAAAGCGUGGGGAGCGAACAGG